RNAcentral lists this long non-coding RNA (1137 nucleotides) under Homo sapiens (human). RNAcentral's name for it is "HSALNT0355442". The record is from RNAcentral. Lineage: Eukaryota; Metazoa; Chordata; Mammalia; Primates; Hominidae.
GCCAGGCCCACCCGAUGCUGCUCGACUCAGUCGCCCUGCAGGCACUGUGUGUUUGGACAGCUGGAAGCAGAGCUCGGCCUGUGACCUGCCUGGUCCAGCAACUGGACCUUCUGGAGAGUCACAGUGAGACACACAGCCACAUCCUGUAAAUGAAGACCUCGUGGCUCAGAGAGGUCAGGUAACUUCCCCAAAGCCUGUCUGGCCUCCCAGCACCAUCCCUAGUCCCAGAGGGGAGGUGGAAUGAAGGCAGGGCUAAGGCCAGGCUGCAUGGAGGCAGAGGCACCUGCCGGCCUGCAGGACCAAAGGUUCUAUUGGAGGCAGUGCCUGGGCAGACAAAGGCCCUCAGAUUCACAAGCUGAAGCCCUAGCACCCAGGGCCCCAGUGUGCUACUGUGUUUGGAGACAGGUAAAGGUUGUCAAGGUAAGACAGGGUGGCCCUGAUCCAAUAUGACUGGCGUCCUUGUAAGAAGAGGAGAUUGGGACAGACACGCCCCGAGGGAUGGCCAUGUGAGGGCGCCUCAGGAAGACGGUGUGCAAGAGCGGGAAGCGGGGCCUCGGAAGAGCCAGCCCUUGGAUCUCGGGCUUCCAGGAGAAUCAGUUCCUGCAGUUGAAGCCACCAGGGUGCUGUGGCAGGGGCUGGGUCCCUGCUCGACCUUCGGGUGCCGGGGUGUCCCGUAUAAGAGCAGCACAGCCACCGCCACGGCCACUCGCAGUUCCAGGCUCCGGGCAGCAUCUGGGACCCCAGUUCCUGUUGUGAGAGGCUCCCCACUGCCAUCCCACCCCCUGCAAGUAAGCCAGAGAAAAGAAAAUGCCAUUCGGAAAAUCCUAAGGAAGAGAGGAUGCAUUUCCUCGUCUCCACGUGGAAGCGGAUCACCCUAAAGGUCUUCAUCCUGGUCUUUUUCAUGCUGAGGAGGCUGGGGAGGAGAAGGAAGAGGAGGGGCUGGUCUUGCUGACCCAGGAGCAGCAGAGAAAGGAGAAAAUCCACGUGCAGGGGCUGGCCAGCGCUGGGCUUCUCGGGAAUGGAAUCACACACGGACUGUGGCGUACACAUCACAACUUUAAACCCCGUCCGUACUGAAGCCUGCGUCCGAAUUUCUUCUGUUUUUGUGGCGGAAGGAUAAAUAUUCCAUUGUACAGA